Molecule: ribosomal RNA, 288 nt
Filed under: uncultured bacterium
Lineage: Bacteria
Description: partial 16S ribosomal RNA
Rfam family: Bacterial small subunit ribosomal RNA
Source: RNAcentral
GUGGAUUAGAUACCCGGGUAGUCCAUGCCGUAAACGAUGUCUACUAGCCGUUGGGUCCUUUGAGGACUUAGUGGCGCAGCUAACGCGAUAAGUAGACCGCCUGGGGAGUACGGUCGCAAGACUAAAACUCAAAUGAAUUGACGGGGGCCCGCACAAGCGGUGGAGCAUGUGGUUUAAUUCGAUGCAACGCGAAGAACCUUACCUGGCCUUGACAUACUAAGAACUUUCUAGAGAUAGAUUGGUGCCUUCGGGAACUUAGAUACAGGUGCUGCACGGCCGUCGCCAACU